This 747-nucleotide ribosomal RNA is filed under the name uncultured bacterium. RNAcentral's name for it is "bacterial SSU rRNA". It matches the Rfam family "Bacterial small subunit ribosomal RNA", at positions 28 to 776 of the family's 1533-position model. The record is from RNAcentral.
GAUGAACGCUGGCGGCGUGCUUAACACAUGCAAGUCGAGCGAGAAGUUUUGAAAAGAUUCUUCGGAUGAAAUUUAAAAUGGAAAGCGGCGGACGGGUGAGUAACGCGUAGGCAACCUGCCCCAUACAAAGGGAUAGCAUUUGGAAACGAAUAUUAAUACCUUAUGAAACUUAACUAGUGCAUGCUAGGUAGGUCAAAGAUUUAUCGGUAUGGGAUGGGCCUGCGUCUGAUUAGCUAGUUGGUGAGGUAACGGCUCACCAAGGCGACGAUCAGUAGCCGACCUGAGAGGGUGAACGGCCACAUUGGAACUGAGACACGGUCCAAACUCCUACGGGAGGCAGCAGUGGGGAAUAUUGCACAAUGGGGGAAACCCUGAUGCAGCAACGCCGCGUGAACGAUGAAGGCCUUUGGGUCGUAAAGUUCUGUUCUAGGUGAUGAAAACUGACAGUAACCUAGGAGAAAGCCCCGGCUAACUCCGUGCCAGCAGCCGCGGUAAUACGGAGGGGGCAAGCGUUAUCCGGAAUUAUUGGGCGUAAAGGGUACGUAGGUGGCCUUUUAAGCGUAGGGUAUAAGGCAAUGGCUCAACCAUUGUUCGCCCUAUGAACUGGAAGGCUUGAGUGCAGGAGAGGAAAGCGGAAUUCCUAGUGUAGCGGUGGAAUGCAUAGAUAUUAGGAGGAACAUCAGCGGCGAAGGCGGCUUUCUGGACUGCAACUGACGCUGAGGCUCGAAAGCGUGGGGAGCAAACAGG